AUUUGAUUGUCGCGAGAGAAGAAAAAGAAGGUGAUGAGGUUGGACAGAAGGAGGAGGCGAAGGUGAGAGGAGAAUCGCUGGAGCCUUGUAGAGAGUGACUAAAAGAACGCACCAAGGAUUGAUGCGAUGACUCCUACAAGUUUGGCUUGGCUGCUUCAGCUUUUCCAGCUCACUCUCUCCAUCCUAAUUUUUAAUUCAGUUAUUAAAGAAUAAGCUAAGUUUAUCUUGUAAUAAUGGCCAUUGACGUAAUGCGCAAUUCUGUCUUGUGUUUCCUAUGAAUGUGCAGCCUCCACUUGCUGAAGCACCGGACUUUCUUUGGUUCUGUCCCGUUUCAGGGAUUUUUUCAUUUGCAAAGCAACUCCUAUCUAGGAAAUUUUAGGGACCCAGCAUCACGAGACGAGGUUCAUCAUCACGAGAGUGAAAGUGAAGGUGAAUAAUGGCGAGAAUGAAAGUGAAAGCUGGGACGAGGUUCAUCAUGGCCCGUUGAAGAUAGAAUUUCAAUUUCAAUUCCUUAUAUUAUGAACUAAUUGAUUCAGUCAAUCCGUAAGAUUGAAGGGUCAGUCAAUAAAUUGGAAGAACUUUAUCUUGUAUAUUGUUUUCCUAUUUGUAUUUCUUUGUAUUAUAAAUAUCCUCAUAUACAUGUACAAACAAUAUCGAAAAAUACAAUUACAAUUCCUCCAUAACGCCUUUUCGAUUUCUGUCAUCUUUUCUUCGAUUCCUACCAUAAUAUCAGAGGUAUCAGAGAGUUCUUUCCUAACCUAGGUUCCGUAAAGUUUUCUGGAUUGCCUCCAGUCAGUUUUCUAACUUUGUGUUGCAAACCAUAAUAUGCAAAACAAAGUUAGCACUUUGGGUGGAAAUGCACGUAUUUAUUUAUUUUAUUUUAUUGGUAAAGAGCACGUAUUUAUUUAUCAACCAUACAAUUACCAAGAAGCCUGCUUAAGCCUACAUAGGAAUUUAUGAAGACAACAUACCCAUACUCCCCUAUCUUUGUAAAUCUUAUGGAAGUUCCAUAUAAGACUUUUUUAUCCUGAUCGCUUUAAUGAAAAGCAUUGGAUGUGUUUACUUUCUUGGCCACUAGGGGAAAAAGUCUUGUGAUAGUUGAAUCAAGCCUUGUAGGAAACUAUUUACUUUGCACUUGAUUUUGUAUAUUCAUUUGCAGCCAAUUGACCUUCCAUGUGAAGGCAAGGACAUGCCCAGAGCAAGGGACUUGUAAUCCAUGCCAAUGUCCCCGUACAUAUGUGAUGUGAGUUUGCAGGGUGAAUUACCAAAAAAGUCAUAAAUUUAUUACAAUUGUGUCAAUUUAGUCAUAAACUUUUUUUUUGCCAAUUCAGUCCUAAACAUUUUGUAAUUAUACCAAUUUAGUCCAUUCGACAAAAUUUAACCAACCGACGCUAAUGUGGACAUUAGCCAGCGAUGGCUGUCUAGUGAAUGCUAAUGUGUCAUUUUUAAAUUUUUUUUUGAAUUUUUGAAUUUUUUUUUGAAUUUUCUUUCUUUCUUUCCAUCCAUCUUUUCCUUCCUCUAGUCGGCCACAAGGGUCGAUGGGGCCUCACCUAGCCAAGGCGACGGUUGACUUCGCUAGUGGCUGGCGAGGCUCCUCGCUAGAUCUGGCGAUGGCGACCUCACUAUCGCUAGGUGAGGCUUGACUUCGCCAGUGGCCGGCGGCGGCAAACCUUGCCACUAGCCGACGAGGCAGACCUCGCCGACUAGCUAGAGGAGGGAGAAGAUGGAUGGAAAGAAAAGAAAAAUAAUUCGAAAAAAUAUUUAAAAAUUCAAAAAAUAAUUAAAAAAUGUCACGCCAGUUGACCAACGUCCACGUUAGUACCGACCAUCCAAUUUUAGCCGGAUGGAUUGAAUUAACACAAUUAUAAAAGGUUUAGGACGAAAUUGACAAAAAAAAAUUAUGACUGAAUUAGCAUAAUUACAAUAAAUUUAUGAUUUUUUUGGAAAUUCUCCCCAUCUGCAUCAUCAUCCAAAUUACAUAAAAAUUCACUUCGUUUUUUGUAUGAAACUCUCAGCAGUUGAUAGAGACCUUUGGCUUCGAAAGAAUUCCAAGAAAAGCAGAUCCCAAGUCUGCAAAUUCGUGCGAAAUGAAGAAGCUUCACUCACUCGCCCAUCCAGAGCGAGCAAGAUGAUCUUGCGAAGGAUAGAAAAGGUGAGAGGGGGACACGACCCAGACCUGUCAAACAGAGCAAACAAGCUAGACGAGGGCUUCAAACUGUUUUCCCCUUUCUUUUCCUCCAUAAACCUGACAUUAAUGGAGUUAGCAGAAGCCUUCGAUUAAGCCAAAUCCCAAACUAGAGUUGCUUCUGGUAGUUCAUUAUUGAUAUGCAUCUGCGAGCAGAUAUCAGUCCACAUUACAUAAAGAUACGCUCGAACAUCUACAAAGUAUCUCGCCAUGGAACCUGAAAAAUUUCAGGAAAAUCCACUUCUUCUCUUUCCCCCUGUUUUGCCAGCACAAUUGUUUAAGAAAUUUCUUUUUGGGGUACAUGUGCAUCAGGCCGCGCUUCAAGGAUACAUCAAUUUGUGCCGUACAAUGUUAGAUCAGUAAUACACGACACGACCCGGAUGCACAACCGGAUACGUAGUUAACUAGGUUUGACUUUGGUACAGACAAGUUAAUGUCAUAAAUGGAUCAGCUCGUUCAAGAUACAACAAAAAUUGUGUUUGACAGGAGUUGACUCGCUCACCCAUUUAAAUACAAAUUAACAUUUUUAAUUUAGUGAGUUUUCUUUUGGUCAAAAAUUUAGUGAGUUAAUGUGUUACCUUUUUAACACGAUAUCAUUAGAUAUACUUUGAUAUGUUUAGUACUCAAAUAAUAUGUAACUUUUUCUUUUUCUUCUUUUUUAUAAUUUGCUCUUCUUCUCUUCUUCUCUCUCUUUUUUUUUUUUUUCCUUUUCCUGUGUCAAUGAGGGUCAUUGGCGAUCAUCCGACUAGGAAGGUCUUGCCAGUUGUGGAUGAGAAGGCCUCCCCUAGGGCGUUCAUGGCAUCGCCGAUAGUGACCAAGGCAAUCCUCACCUAGACUACCUGCGAAGGUUGCCAGUGAACUUCGUUGCAUAGAAAAAAAUAAAAAUUCAAAAAUUAUCCACAUCAGUACAGUUAUGUCAUUUAGAACGACUGAUUAUUAUCUCAACGAUUUCCAAUCAUAAUUAGCAGAAUGGAUUUAAUUGAUAAAUUUGAAAAAUUUAUGACUGAAUUGAUCAAAAUGCUAUAAAUUUUAAAAAAAAAUUAUAUAAUUUUCCUUAAAUGCUCAGAAGAUUUAAAUAUAUUUUUUUCAAAGUGGGCAUACACGUUAAUUUAUGCGCACCAGAUGGCAUGCGGCAAUCAAAAUUUGUCCCUAUCUUAGCAUUUCCACAUCUAGUUCACGUUGGAACAUUCAGCCCGAAUAAUUUCCAAAGACAAGAGGGUGGUGCGUCUUAAGAAUAUGUACAAAUGUUUUGUAAUUUUCCUCCUCCUUUUUUCUUUAUGUUGCCAAGACAAUCUACAAGCUUGAAGCUUUGCUUAGGAGCGGAGGAAUCUUACGGCUGGAGGAUGCCAAGCUCCCCCACAACCCCACUGCCCUCGAUCGUCGUCUCUUCCUCUUUGGACUUUCCCCACGUUACCCCGUAGAAUCCCACGAUCACAAUCGCUCCGCGAAAGCUGCACAAAGCCCAAAAGAGAAAAACAAAAAGGCCAUUUAACCAAAAAAGAAAAAAGAAAAAUUCUUUUAAAUGGCAUGUCCGCGUUGAUCGAGACAGGAUAUUCUCGUAAAAUUAUCACGUAGUCUGUGGAACUCAAGGCACGGCCUCGAUACCAACUAUUGAGUAAGACAGACAAAGCCCAUCUCAAGAAGCACAAGCUCUUUUCAUUGGCAAUACUCUUUUAUAAUAUCGGUUGGAAAAACUCUCACACACACUUAUGGGAGCCAAGCACGCUCACACCACGCUUGCUCUAAUGAGCGCCCUCGCCUAUUUGGAGGCCUAAGUAGUUGGUUCUACCUCCUAAAAUAUUUUGAUAUUUCUAUAUUAAUAUCUUCCCCUAGGUAUUUCUAAAGAAAUAUAUCCUAUGAUAUUUCUACACUCUUCUUAAAAUUUCUUAUAACUAUAUAUCUAAAUAUUUGGGUAGUCUAGAGAAAUCUAGAAUCUUUAAGAGAAAAGAGGAGGUGCAAUUCUUCAGCACUCCCCCUCAAAAACUUUUUUUUUUCUCAACGUGAAUCUAGUCAUCGUGCCAAAUUGCGUCUUGGAACUCUUUAGUUGUCUUUUUGGCUUCCUUUAACCUUUGUUAUUCCUUCCUGACUUCGCCUAUUUCUUAUGCUCACUGAAGAUAUUUGAGAUAAAGCCCUAAUUAACACCAUCUUCUCGAACUUCAAUUACCUCUGUGGCUGCAACUUUUGAUUAGAUUUUGUGAAGUUUGGACUUUGGCAACGCGAAGUUCGACCUGUGCUUCUGUCUCUUUUUCCUGCAUCCCACUUAACCUAGCCUUCAUACUUUGCAAUUCUUUUGUAAGAGUUUUAAGAUCAUAGCUUAUGUGGCCAAGCCUUUCAUUCGCGGUUUCAUUUGGUGCUUUAACCGAUUCACUUCAAUUUGCAGACAACUUCGUCCUUCUUCUGGUAGGGCUUCUUCUCCACACCCUUCCAUCGAGAUGUAAGGUGGAGAUGGCCACAGUUUUUAAAAACAUCCUUUCUUUUUCUCCUUCUUAUUUUCCCUAGUUUGACCAAUUGAGAAUGUCACAGUGGGCUUGAAUUCCUUAAGCUUCUGCAACUUCUUAAGCUCACACGAAAGCUUUUCAUGCUCUCUUUCUUUGGCCUUGAGCUCCUCCUCCUUCUACCUCAGCAUUUCUCCUUCUCCUUCAACAUCUUCUCCAUCUUCACCUUCAUCUUCUCCAUCUCCUACAGCCCUUUCUCAAGGCUGCUCAUUGGCACUGCUACUCGCUUCUUCGGGUUUGUCCUCAGCUUGCUCUUAUCCAAGAACGUGACAAAGUCUCUCGCAUCAUCUGACUUGAUAGUGGAGGAGGUUGCGAGCGCUUCCGAUUCCUCUAUUAUAGUGGCCAGUUGGAAAUCUCACUCUUCUUCAUUAUCGUUCUCUUUCAUGGUAGAGGUUGCGGCAUUUCCUUCAACGUGCCUGAAUAGAUAGACCUUGGCAAAGUGCCAUACUUUAAUGCACAUGCAGCACCAUCCGUUAUGCCUUUUAAAGCUUUUAUCUUCAUUGUCAUUAUUGUUAUAAUCUCGAUGAGCUCCCCAUGGCUGCGCGCUCCUCCCUUCUGGUCGCCUCAGCCAGUCUCCAUGACCACUCCUCUCUUUUUCAUCUCCAAUGCUAGCUUCAUUUCUCCUUUGGCCCUUGAACCCCCUUUUUCUUAUGGAAGAGGACACUUCGAUCAUCCUUCAUUGAGACCUUAGAAAUUUGUCUAUCUAAACCCCCUUAGUUGACUAAUAUAUUCUCUAACUUGAUCAAAGUUGGAUCUUUAGACUAUCCCCCAUGAAUGCUAAUUAUUCCCUACAUAGUCCUAGAGAUGGCAUUCUAAGGAUCCAACUUUAUAAUUUCUUCACAAAUAGAUUUAACUUUGAAAAGAUAUUGGCUCACUGUCAAUCGCUCAUUUUCCAACCAUUGUAGUUUGGCGUCAUUCGUCCUAGAGAAUAGUGUUGCCAAGGCAACCUAUGCCUCCUUUGGGAUUCUUGUGGUUUUGAUAUGCUGUAACAUUCAUCACUCAACUAUAACAACAAGAACAUAGAGAGUCCUACCAACCUUAAUCUUCCACUCCCUCCCCCCUCUUCAUCAACCGUGAGUGGUGUGGUAUAAUCGCGUCAACAAUAUCCUACAAAUCUUAACCCAAUAGGUAAAAUUGCAUGCUGGCAUUCCAAUUAUUAUAAUUGAAGUUGUUGCAUCCUUGACACCCCUUGCCCAUGGCCAAUGGGGCUGCCAAGGCCUCCCCCAAGGCCUUUACGGCAUCACCAAGGUGAGGCUUUUGCAACUAGCGAGGGUUGCUAGUGACCCUCGUUGGCACCGGAAAAAAAAAAAACAAAAACAAAGAAAAGGAGGAAAAGAAAAAAGAUUAAAAAAUUCAAAAAUUUACAAAAAUUGUCCAUUGUCAUAUAAGGUACGAUAACCGAGUCAACGUUAGUGAUUUCCAGUCAAAAUUAGUCGAACGAAUUUAAUUGAUAAAUUUAAAAGAUUUUAGGACCGAACUAAUAGAAAUGCAAUAAAUUUAGAACUUUUUAAAUAAUUUUCCCCCAUUUCUCAAAAGAUCUAAAUACAAGUUUUUCAAAGUGGGCAUACACGUUAAUUUAUGUGCACCAGAUUGCAUACCGCAAUCGAAAUUUGUACCUAUCUUAGCAUUUCCACAUCUAGUUCUUGUUGGAAUAGUCAUCUCGAAUUAAUUUCCAAAGACAAAAGGCUACGCCUUAAUAAUAUGUACAAAUUUCCGUCUUUUUCCUUCUUUUUUCUUUAUGUUGCCAAGAAUAUCUACACGCUUGAAGCUUUGUUUUGGAGCAGAGGAGUCUUAUGGACGGAGGACGCCAAGCUCUCCCCAACCCCACUGCCCUCGAUCGUCGUCUCUUCCUCUUUGGACUUUCCCCACAUCACCCCGUAGAAUCCCAUCACAAUCACGAUCGCUCCGAUUAUGCUGCACAAGACCCAAAAGGGAGAAACAAAAAGGCAAGUUGACUAAAGAUAUUUCUUUUAAAUGGCAUGCCCGCGUCAAUCGAGACAGGAUAUUCUCUUAAAAUUAUCACGCAGUCUGUUGAACUUAGAGGCAUGGCCUCGAUACCAACUAUCAAGUAAGACGCACAAAGCUCGUUUAAAGAAACAAGAGCACUUUUCAUUGGUGACACUCUCUUAUAAUAUCAGUCGGAAAAAACUUUGUAUACAAACUUAAGAGUGCCAAGCACAAUCUCAUACACUCUCACACACACUUAUGGGACCAAGCUCACUCACACCACGCUUGCUUUAAUGAAAGCCCUUGCCUAUCUAUAGGCCUAAGUAGGUGGUUCUACCUCCUAGAAUAUUUAGAUAGUUCAAUAGUAAUAUCUUCCCCUAGGUAUUUCUAAAGAAAUAUAUCCUAUGAUAUUUCUACACUCUUCUUAAAAUUUCUUACAACCAAAUAUAUAAAUAUUUAGGUAGUCUAGAAAAAUCUAGAAAUUUUAAGAGAAAAGAGGAGGUGCGUUUCUUCAACACUCCCUCUCAACAAUUAUUUUUUUUCUCAAUGUGGAUCUAGCCAUCUUGGAACUCUUUAGUUGUCCUUUCGGCUUCUUCCUUUAACCUCUGUUUUUCCUUCCUGACUUCACCUAUUUCUUGCGCUCACUCCAGAUGCGCUCACUCCAGAUGUUUGAGAUAAAGCCCUCAAACUUCAAUUACCUCUGUGACUGCAACUUUCGACUAGAUUUUGUGAAGUUUGGACUUCGGCAACGCCAAGUUCGACCUGUGCUUCAGUCUCUUUUUCCUGCAUCCCACUCAACCCAGCCUUCAUACUUUGCUAUUCUUUUGUAAGAGUUUUAAGAUCGUAGCUUAUGUGGCCAAGCCUUUCAUUCGCAGUUUCAUUUGGUGCUUUAACCAAUUCACUUCCAUUUGAAGCACUUAGAUGGAGAUAACUUCGUCUUUCUUCUGAUAGGGUUUCUUCUCCACGCCCUUCCAUCGAGAUAUAAGGUGGAGAUGGCCACAAUUUUUAAAUACAUCCUUUCUUUUUCUCCUUCUUAUCUUUCCCAGUUUGACCAACUGAGAAUGUCACAGUAGGCUUGAAUUCUUAAGCUUCUGCAACUUCUUAAGUUCACACCAAAGCUUAUCAUGCUCUCUUUCUUUGGCCUUGAGCUCCUCCUCCUUCUGCCUUAGCAAUUUUUUUCUUCUCCUUCAACAUCUUCUCCAUUCUUUGCCUCCAUCUUCUGCAUCUCCUACAGCCCUUUUUCAAGGCUGCUCACUGGCGCCGCCACUUACUUUUUUGGGUGUGUGCUUAGCUUGCUCUUAUCCAAGAUUGUGACAAAGGUUGUCGCAUCAUUUGACUUGAUAGUGGGAGAGGCUGCGAGCUCUUCCAAUUCACCACUUGGAAAUCUAACUCUCUUCACUAUGGUUCUCUUUCAUGGCAGAGGUUGCGGCAUUUCCUUCUAUGUGCCUGAAUAGCCCUGGCAAAGUGUCAUCCUUUACCUCACCUGAAGCACCAUUUGCUACACCUUUUAUUGCUUUUAUCAUCAUUGUCAUCUUUAUCAUAAUCCCAAUCCCAAUGAGCUCCCCCUGAGCACUCCUCCCUUCUGGUCUCCCCAGCCAGUCUCCAUGACCUCUCCUCUAUUUCUCUUCUCCAGUGCUAGCCUCAAAUCUCCUUUGGCCAUUGAAUCUCUCUUAUUAUUAAAGAGGACACUUUCAUCAUCCUUUCCCUAGACCUCAGACAUUUGUUUAUCUAAAUCCUCUUGAUUGGCCAAUAAAUUCUCCAGCUCGGUCAAAGUCGGAUCUUUAGGCCAUGAGUAGCUAUAACAAUACCAUUAUGUUAUGACCGUAACCCAUGAACGAUAAUUAUUCUCAUCCUAUCCUAGAGAUGGCAUUCUGAGAAUUCAACUUUAAAAUUUCUUCACAAAUAGAUUAACUUUGGAAAGAUAUUAGCUCAUUGUCAAUAGCUCAUUUUCCAACCAUUGUAGGUUGGCAUCAUUCGUCCUAGAGAAUAGUGUUGCCAAGGUGUCCUUGUGCUCAUGAUAUGCUGUAGCAAUUCAUCUUCCCCUAUAACAACAAGAGCAUAGAGUCUCCUACCAACAUUAAUCUUCCCCUUCUUCCUGCUCUUCAUCAUCCAUGAGUGAUGUGGUAUUGUCAUCGCAAACAAUAUCACACAAAUCUUAACCUAGCAGGUAAAAUUGCAUGCAGGCAUUCCAAUUAUUAUAAUUGGAGUUGUUCAGCUUCUCUACGCCAUUGCCAAACUUGAGAAAUCUAUCAUCAUGAGUUGGUUAUAAUGCCCGAGAUUAUACCAAGUAAGCUUGGUUCCAGAUCAACCGAUUACAUUCCUUGACUGUGAAUUGAUAUAGUUUCAGCAUAUUCCAGUCCCUGAUCAUCUGCUCACAUACAAUGGUUCCUAGCCACUAUUUUUGCGUACCACGACUUUCAAUCGCUAGAUUCACAGUCCUCAACUGCCUACUCUAAUACCACUUGUUGAACUUGCAGGUGUAGCUUUGAUACCAACACAUACUUUUUUUGUUUGAGGCAUUUUCUUACGAUAUAAAGUUGAGAGAACUUAUACAACUCAUGGGUGCCAAGCACACGCACUUAUGGGAGCCAAGCUCACUCAGAGCACACUAACUCCAAUGAGAGCUUAAGCCUGUUCAUCCGCCUAUGGAGGUGGUUCUACCUCCUAAAUUAUCUAGAUAUUUCUAAAUAAAUAUCUUCCCUAGAUACUUCUUAAUAAAUAUCUCCAGAUAUUUCUAUCUCUCUCUAGAUAUUUAUAGAAAAAUAUAUUCCUGGAUUUCUACACCCUUCUUAGAAUAUCUUUCAACGUAAUAUCUAGAUGUUUAGGUAACUUAAAAAUAUCUAGAAUUCUUGAGAGAAGAGAGAAGGUAUAAUUCUUUUAUAAUCCUCAUGCAACUCAUUUUCGUUGCUUGUUUUGUUCAUUUAUGUAUGCUUUCAACCACUAAACUCUGGUUUCUUGACAGAGAGACCGUGACAAAUCCUUAGACUUGAGCAAUUUUCGUAUAAAAAGUUAAACUGAAGAGCAAACCUGUUUAUAUUAUAUAUACAAAGAAUACGUGUUGUUGUGCUUGAGAUUAGCUCAUGAAGGAGCUUUUUUCUCUAAUGGACACAUCUUUCUUAGUUACUAUUAAUCAACUAGAUUCUUGAUCACAGAGUAGGUUGGGGUGUGGGCAUUUCAAUUAAGAAGAAGAGCGAGUACUUGUACCUUCCGAGGUAUAACAUCUCGCCAAGAAAUAUGAACCCCAAUCCGGCAGCAAAUACAACUCCCAAGGGCUUGAACAUGGAGACAUAAACAGGUCCAGUUUUUUUCAGGCACCAUGUACAUAAUGAGGCUCUGAAGACGCCAGAAACCAGAGCCUGCAUAUACAAUAGUAAUUUACUUUUACGUUCAACCUCGAAGUCAAGACCAAAAUGUAGAGUUUAGAAGUUAUUAUGUCACACGCUUACCGAGUAUAAUAUAGAAAUUAGACCUAUAUUGACUUUCAAAAUCCAAAACUGCGGUUCUCUCACUGUAACAAAGGACAACAGCCCGGAAAGAACAGUCGAAAAGAACGUUGAAUAGAACAUUAAGUUCAUCACCACGGGAUAAUCUUUGAGGAUAAAUGCCUGCAAGAUUCGAGAUAUGUUUACUUGUCAAUUCUUCUUUAGCUUUGUUUUAGUGUCAUUCAUAUUCUAAGUAAGGCCAUCGGUGCUAACCUGUCCAAUGAACCAUAAUGAUAUCAAGAAAGCUUCGGCCACAAGGAGAAACCCGCCAAGGAUCCAAUUCGAUUGUCUCGAGAGAAGAAAAGGAGGGUGACGAGGUUGGACAGGAGGAGGCGAAGGGGAAAGGAGAAUCGGCGGACCCUUGUAGAGAGUGACUACGAAUGCACCAAGAAUUGAUGUAAUGGUUCCCACAAGCUUAGCUUGGCUGCUCGAGCUUUUCCAGUUCACUUUCUCCAUCCUAAUUAUCAGUUCCAUCAACAAACCAAAGAAUAGAAUAAGUUCAUCUUGUGAUCAUCUUCGACGACACAUUGUGCGCUGCUGUCUCUUGUCUUUCCUAUGAAUGUGCUGCUGCCUUCUCUUGCUGAAGCACCGGACUAUCUUGAAUUUGUUCCAUUUCAGGGACAUAUUCAUUCGCAGAGCAACUCUCGUUUUGGGAAUUUUAGGGAUCCAGCAUCAACAGAAAUAACACAACAUCAUUUGCUUCUCUCAUUUUUUUAUUUUAUUUUUCAAAUGAAGGUUCUUUAAGUGCGCCGAGAUUGAAAGGACACAUGCACAGAAAAUGAGAACUGAAUUAAGUGGUAGCAAAGCGAAUCUCUCCGGACCUAGUUGAAACAGGAACUGUUGAUUUUUGAUAAAAAUCGCUCGCAACCUCGAGCUGAACCCAUGUAAAAUUAACCCCCCAUCAUCCAAUUACCACACUAUCAUCUGCUUCUCUCAUUUUUUUAUAAAAUGAAGGUUCUUUAAGUGCACUGCAGAUAACGAGAGAGAAGAGACAAAAGAACCUUGAAAUAAUGGCGAGAAUGAAAGUGAAAGCUGGGAUGAGGUUCAUCAUGGCCAUGCCCAGAACAGGGGAGCUGUAAUCCAUGCCGACAUACUCGCACAUCUGGCAGGCGAGUCUGCAUCAUCCAACUUACUACAAAAUUAACUUUUGUUUCUCGUAUAAAACUCUUAGCAGUUGAUUAGACCUUUUGCUUCAAAAGAGUUCCAGAGUCUGCAAAUUCAUGUAAACUUCACUCACUCACCCAAUUAGAGCGAUCAAGAAGAUCUUUCGAAGGACAGAGAAAGUGAGAGGAGGACACGAUCCUGGCCUGCCAAAGAGAGCAAACAAACAAGCAAGGUUUCUUAAAACCGUUUUCUUUCCUUAAACCUGACAUCAAUGGAGUUAGGGAGUGUUAGCCAGAGCACAAACCUGCGAGAGAUGAUGAGGGGACAAGGAAGAAGGACGAGAGAGGAGAGGGCGUUACUGUAGAAGACCAUGGUGUACUUGUUCAUCCCUUCGGACAUGGCCAUUUUCGUCACCACCAUGUUGCUCGUUUGAACCAGGACCACCAUUAUCAUCCCCAUAAACGGCAGUGAACCCCUCGCUCUCCCGUCUCUCUCUCUCUCUCUCUCUCUACCCCUCCCUCCUCCCAGUUCGUGGGUUAAUAGUCGGAGGAAACCGAGGUUUUUCCAGGUUCUGCGGGACCGCCUUGGAUUUAAUGCUUUGAUUUGACUUUUCACCUACUUUUGGUGCGAAUUUCUUGGUUGAGGACCUGCAGAAGGUCGAUUUUGCCAACGAUGAAAACGACGGUGGCGAGCUUGAUUGAUGUGGCUUUUGCGAUGUCAUAGUAUAUCAGACGUGUAUCAUUGCAAUUACAAAAACGAUGAGAGGAUGACGAUAGCUCUGCUACUUUUCUUUUCUCAGACGGCGCCUUCGUUGAUUGGGUGGUUUGCAGGUGAUCUUUCGUCUACACGAUCGUAGAUCUGUUCACGUUUCAAAAAGGAUCUGCUCAGUCAUCAAUAAAACAUUACCUGAAAUUUACGGGGAGAAUCCACUUCUUCUCUUUCCCAGCGUUUAGCCAGCACCAGUGUUUGAACUUUGGCUUGUGCAUAUUGGGGGAUUUGCUUCUAGAGUACCCGGGUUGCUUCAUACUAAUCUUAGACUAGUCAAUUCUCAACACGAUCGGUUUGCAUAGUGAUACUUAGUUAAACAGGUUUGGAUUUGAUAUAAACCGGUUAAUGUAAUAAAUGAGUUAAGCUCAUUUAAGACAUAACGAAAAUUGUGUUUUGCCUAAAUUGACCUACUUAACCCGUUUAGUCACGAAUCAAUAUAUAUAUUUUUUAAACGUGACAUCUUUUUAACACGACAUGAUUAUACAUGCUUUAAUAUGUUUAAUACUAGAGUAAUCACCGCUUAGUUCUAAUAGCACAUCAAUUAGCACCAACCUAAUUGACUAAUCGAUAAAAAGAAUAAAAGAUAUGCAAGAAAAUGAAAAGUCAAUUAGAUUAAAAUAUAAAUUGAUAGAGUAAACUUUUCCUAAGGUUGAUAAAAUGGGAAUUUGUUGAGGCUAUCCUGCUCUGACCCAGCGCUCACCGGUGCGUCUUCAGGUUAUCACGCUGCCACCAACUCACCUGCUACUCACCACCACACCUACCGGGCUGUUUCUUCUCCGGUUGAACAUUAGAAUCGAUUCGAGUUCAUUCUAGAUUUGUCUCUUGAAUUAUGCUCCAUUUCGUUUUCUUUAGAUUUCGCUGCCUUUCAUUGAACUGCCUUGUCCAGCAUUCGCCAAGCCACUGCACCAUAUUGCAGGGUCGUUAUUGAACUUUCAUGAGCAGCCAUGUUGCCAUCCAGACGGCACCAUAAUCUGCUGCAGCUGUUAACUCUCUUCUCCAGCUCCAAGCAGUAUAAAUCCGUGAUUGGGACGGAUUAAGCGAAAUCGACUAAGAGGGACAACAGCUGAGAGGACGGGGCAAAGAGAGAGAGAGAGAGAGAGAGAGGAGGAGGAGUAGAGAAGGGGCGCGAAGAGAGUGAUGACGAUAAUCUGGGUAAGAAAAUGGCAACUGGACCCAAGAAGGGAUUAAGAUCAUAUAGGAUGGAAAUGCAAGUUGAGAUACAUUAACAAAAGCCAAAGCGCAGAGUAGAGGUUUUCCAAAGCGAGCAUAAAGGUCAAUGUGCGUGCACCAAAACGAAGAUGGUAGUCGAAAUCUUCUCGAAAUUCUUCAUUUUUCAGGCGAUGCCCCUCUAUUGGUAUCUCCACAUCUCUUUCACAGUGGAAUGUUCAAGUCGAAUUCAUUUCGAAAAACGCAAAAGGAAAAUGUCUCUACGAAUACGUACUAAUAUCUACACUCUGGAAGCUUUGUUUCGGAGCAAAGGAAUCUUGUCGCUGGAGGAUGCCAAGCUCUCUUCAACCCCGCUGCCCUCGAUCGUCUUCUCUUCCUCUUUGGACUUGGCCCACACUACCCCGUAGAAUCCCAUCACAAUCACGAUUGCUCCGAUCAAGCUGCACAGAACCAAUAAGAGACAGACAAAAAAGGCAUGUCCACGUCAAGCUGCCCUGUUUUGUCCAUUUAUGUGUGCUUUGUAAUGACCGACACUGAUUCCUUAACGGAGAGACUCUGGCAGAUCUCCAGAGUUAAACUCAUGAAGGAGCUUUCUCUCUGAUGAACACAUCUUCCUGAAUUUCUUCUAGUCGACUAGAUUCUUGAUUAUAAAAAAAAGGCUCAGGCAUUUCAAUAGAGAAGAGGAAAGAGUACAUGUACCUUCCAAUGUGUAACUUUUCGCCAAGAAAUAUGAACCCCAAUCCAACAGCAAAUACAGUUCCCAAGGGCUGGAACAUGGAGACGUAAACAGGUCCAGUUCUCUUCAGACACCAUGUACUCAACGUGAUUCUGAAAACAUUAGCAACCAAAGCCUGCAUAUACAAUAUCAAUCUGACUUUUAUCUUCAACCUCGAAGUCGGACCAAAAUCUAGACUUUAGGAGCCACGAUAGUACGUGCUUACCGAGUACAAAAUAGCGAUCAAACCCAGAUCGACUUUAAGAAUCCAUGAUUGUGGUUCUCUCACUGUAACGAAGGACAAUAGCCCAGAAAAAAUUGUUUGAAAGAACAUUCCAUAGAACAUUAUGUUCAGCACCACGGGGUAAUCUUUGAGGAUAAUUGCCUGCAACAUUGGAAUUUCUUUUACUUGUCGAGUCUUCCUUCUCUUCGGUUUGGUGUCAUUCAUAUUUUAAGAAAAAGUUAAGGACAUCGGUGCUAGCCUGUACAAUGUAUGCUAAUGAUAUCAAGAAAGCUUCAGCCGCGAGGAGAAACCCUCCAAGAAUCCAAUUCGAUUGUUGCGAGAGAAGACCAGGUUGGACAGAAGCAGGAGGCGAAGAUGGGCUAAAAAUCAGUGGACCCUUGUAGAGAGUGACUACGAACGCACCCAGAAUUGAUGCGAUGGUUCCCACAAGCUUAGCUUGGCUGCUUGAGCUUUUCCAAUUCACUUUCUCCAUCCUAAUUUUUAAUUCAAUCUCAUUUUUUUCAAAUGAAGGAUCAUUAAGUUCACUGCAGAUAACAAGAAAGAAGAGACAAAGAACCUUGAAAUAACGGCGAGAAUGAAGGUGAAAGCUGGGAUGAGGUUCAUCAUGGCC
This 14717-nucleotide long non-coding RNA is filed under the name Eucalyptus grandis. Its description in RNAcentral is "long non-coding RNA (EGRA_LNC001140)". Lineage: Eukaryota; Viridiplantae; Streptophyta; Magnoliopsida; Myrtales; Myrtaceae. The record is from RNAcentral.